RNAcentral lists this ribosomal RNA (253 nucleotides) under uncultured bacterium. RNAcentral describes it as "partial 16S ribosomal RNA". It matches the Rfam family "Bacterial small subunit ribosomal RNA", at positions 524 to 776 of the family's 1533-position model. The record is from RNAcentral.
UACGUAGGUGGCAAGCGUUGUCCGGAAUUAUUGGGCGUAAAGCGCGCGCAGGCGGUCUUUUAAGUCUGAUGUGAAAGCCCACGGCUCAACCGUGGAGGGUCAUUGGAAACUGGAGGACUUGAGUGCAGAAGAGGAGAGCGGAAUUCCACGUGUAGCGGUGAAAUGCGUAGAGAUGUGGAGGAACACCAGUGGCGAAGGCGGCUCUCUGGUCUGUAACUGACGCUGAGGCGCGAAAGCGUGGGGAGCGAACAGG